AGAGGCAGCUUGCAAGUUCUCCUGGGGAGGGGAAACUCUGGGCCUCGUAGUCCCCUCACCACAGGCGACUGCCCGUGGAAUUUUCCCUGAUGUCUAUGUGGUUCUCAAGUUUCCCAGCUUGUUCACCUGAGCACUUGGAGUUUGGCUUUUCAGCUCAGAGAAAAAACUCGGAGCUGCCAUGCCACCAGUUUGGCCUUAGGGCUGUGACUAAAUAAAUAAGGGGGACCCCUUCCCCCAGCCGGAUCAGUUUAUUUUCAAAGACAGGGCUUUCUGCAGAUGUCACCGUGGAGCUGGCAGGAAGGCCUCUGUGGGCAGCUGGUUGCCGUGGCCGUGCAGGGCAGUUGGGGGCCCCCUCCCCCUGACCUGGGGCUGGUGACAGCUUACCUUCGCAGUUGCCAAAAAGAAUCUUGACUCUGAUUUUUGACAAGUUCAACUUUCCUAACCAGCCAGACCCACCAGAGGGACCACCUUGAACAAAGACCUGGCCAAAUGCAAAAGGCAAUGAAGCAAUGGGUGAUCUUUAAAGCUAUAAAGGAACUACUGUAUAGUAAAAUUCUGUGGCACCACACAAAAAUGGAGAUUUCUCAAAUGUUGAGAGUUUGAAUUAUUCUAGGUGCAUAUCAAUGCAUUUGUCUUCGUGCUCUUUCAAGUGUGACACCAUGUACCAAAUUUACUUCCCAGACGUACUCCAUCUGAUGUCUUGAGACCAGUCCCUCUCCUGCAGGGAUGACCUACCACCAUCCUAUAUGCUGCACAAGUCUAUGCAAGUCUCCAUUUACAGAUGAAGAAACCAAAGUUCAGAAAAAUUAAGCAACUUGAACAAGGUCCUGUGAGAAGCCAGUGAUGGGGCUGAAACUUGAACAGAAUCUUCAGUCUCCACACCCUGGGCUCUUCUCUCCCACCAGCUUCUGAGGGAAGCAAGAACUUGUCAUGAAGCCUGACUUUUGGCCCAGGGAGUUGGAAUUCCUCUGCAGGCCUCAGAAACCAAGGCCCAGCCUUGCUGACCAGCACUUCCUGCGUCAGUGUUUGGAUCAACACUCAGAGCUCAUUGACAGCAGGUUCCGGUAGCAGAGAAGGGAAACACAUGAGGCAGCUUGUUUAUAAUUUAAAAUGAGGGAAAAAAAAAAAAAAAACAGAAAAAUAAAUGGAUUCACAGGCAGGCCAAAAAUGAUGAUUGCUUUGAUAAGUUCCUUCCUGCUUCUGAUAAAAUGCUCUCCAUUCAUGCAUCAGAAGGCCUGCAAGGUGUCCAGUGCCCCUGGUACUUCUAAUAUUGGGUUCUUUAACAAUUCAACAUGAUAUAUAUAUACACACACACACAUAUUUCCCAUAAUAAACAUAAAAUAUAAAUAUGCAUUAAAAUUUAUUCACUUAUAAUUGGUCUUUGCAAGCUAUAGGCGCACUAUAUAUAUAUUUUAUUAAUUUUAUAUCAUAGUAACAUGAUGGAGGAUGGUGUUAGAAGAAGAAUGUAUAUAUAUAUGUAUAACUGGGUCACUCUACUGUAUAGCAGAAAUUGACAGAACAUUGUAAAUCAACUAUAAUAAAAAAUUAAAAAUUACAUAUCAUAGUAUAUAUAAUUCUUCUGAUCAUGUUUGUGGGGACAUUAUUUAGCUCCUGAAUCACAAUAUAUUAUUGUGCAUCUGUGGCUUGCAAAGCGCAAUGGCUGAUGGGUAUCAGAAAUGAUCAGAAAUGAUUAACCAGGCUCCCUGCUUUUGGUUGCUUCCAGUCCUGUGGGAAAGACUGACCUGUAACUUUUUAGAACAUGAAGCUGAAGGAAGGCCAUAACAGAAUAAAAAAUUAAGUGCAAUGUGAGCCAGAGAAGGAGAACUCAUUCUGAUGGGGCUAAGGGAAGACUUCAGGCAGAGGAGGGCUUUGUGGUGGGAAAGACAUUCUGGGCUGAGGAUCCUGGGCUGUCUGCAAUGUCCUAUUUCACCAGGGGAUGACUAUAGGGCAAGGGACCUGUGAAGGGCUGGGAGCAGAGGGAAGGGGCCAGGCUUAAAGAAGAAAGGUCACAGAGGUGCUAGGAAUUGAGGUGGGAUUAUUAAUGGUUUUAUACCCAGGGACUGGGAAAGCUUGGAUCUUCCCUGCCAGUCAUCUUUUCUCCUAGUUAUCUUCCCAGUGGAAAGAGACUCAGGAAUAACAGCUACCUGGGACUCUAAUUAGCCCUAGGAGUACCAAAUAACACUGUGGACUUCUGGGGAAAACACUCACUUCAGCUUGAAGACUAAGUUGGGCUUCAAGUUUGAAAAACUUGAAUCUGAAUCCUCUGAUGAGCUGAAUUACAGGCAAAGGCCAGCAUGCUUAGGCACACCUAUGGAGAUAUGGUGGGUCUGUUUGGAUGUCUACUUCUAGUCAUGUGGAGAAAGUAAAGGGAUAGGUGGAUUUAUACCUUUAACACACAGAAAUCUGACCCCAAAGAAAAUGUGACAUGAAAAAUGAUCUAAAAUUUUGAUCAGUCAGAUUAAUAAUUCUUUCUCCCUUCAAAGGUAAGGGAGGGAGCUAGAAAGAGGUGGCAAAAGUUGGCAUGAUGUAAGGAGAGGGGUAGAAACAUUCCAUCUCCUGCAGGCAGUGGUGGAUGGUGGGUGGGAAGUGGCUGAAAGUCCAUGAACCAGAAAAGCAGAGAUUCUGCUUGGCAGAACUAAAGGGGAGGUCUCAGGUUCUAGGUAACAGUCAGGAAGUAGUCAUGUUGAUGGAGCUUAUGAGCCAGAAAAACGGUCAAAGGACAAAGAGAUCCACAGGAAAUAAGGAGCAGGGCAAGAAACUAGAAGAAGCAAAUGGCACUGACAAGGCAAACGGAAGCAUUAUUGUCCACCUGCCCUCUUAACUCAUUAAGACAAAGUCCACGGUGAAUCUCAGUCAACGGUGACUGAAAGCAGCUGAUUUGGUAGUUAAUGCAGUUGCAGGGGCAGGGGGCAUGGACAGACAGUUGUCUGCGGCAGUAGGAAGUAGGGGUGGGCAGAAGGCACUUCGCCAACCUCCUCCCACUCUAACAAGCACAGUGCUGCUGUGCCUUGGCUCCAACACCUAUCUGGCGAGAAUCUUGUUUUCCUCUUCAGCAUAGCUGAGCUUGGAGGUUUUGAUAGUGUUUGACUUCAGCAAGUUUCCACAUGAGCCUCUGAUCUAAUGUUGGAACAAAGCAACUGCGGAGGGAGGCCCCGCUUGGAAUGAGUCAGGUGGAGACUGAUGCCUUGUUUCUUGUUAAACACGGUUCCCCCUCCAGGAGAAGCUGAGUUUCAGAGAAGCUAAGUGAUUCCCCCAGGAUUAUAUAGCCACUUGAAGAGUGGGCUGUGAAGAAAGAACCGAAGCCUCCUAACUUUUGGAAUGCCGCAAGUGUGUGCGACGGGCCUGGUGGAUUGACUGCAGUGAGCUGGACUGUAGAGCUGAGAUGUGUCCAGAACAGCGGUUUCCCAUCAAGGACAUAGGAAGCCAUGCCGACGUGGGGAAAAUAUGCUGUUUGAUAUGAAAAAUAGAUCCCCAAGCGGACUCUUCUCCAUACUGUCACUAUCGCCACCUGGACCACUCAUGUUUAAGGCGCCCUCACCUCUGACCUGCAGUCCUGAAGCAGCUUCCAGGCUGGCCCUCCUGUUCCUGCCCUUGCUCUUCUACACUGUAUUCAGCACGAAACUAAGAUACACAAGGACAGGAAUCUCGUUUGUCCACUGAUGUUCGAACACCAAGAAGAAUGACUGGCCUCAAUAAAUGCUUGUU
Sus scrofa (pig) is the source of this 3705-nucleotide non-coding RNA. The record is from RefSeq and is a predicted model, not a curated record. NCBI's taxonomy places the organism in Eukaryota, Metazoa, Chordata, Mammalia, Artiodactyla, Suidae.